This 107-nucleotide small RNA is filed under the name Marmota monax (woodchuck). Lineage: Eukaryota; Metazoa; Chordata; Mammalia; Rodentia; Sciuridae. The record is from RNAcentral.
GCCGGGUGUGGUGGUACACACCUGUUGUCCCAGCUACUCAGGAGGCUGAGGCAGGAGGAUCAUUUGAGCCCAGGAGUUUGAGGCAACAAAGAAAGACCACAUCUUAA